This 253-nucleotide ribosomal RNA is filed under the name uncultured bacterium. RNAcentral describes it as "partial 16S ribosomal RNA". It matches the Rfam family "Bacterial small subunit ribosomal RNA", at positions 524 to 776 of the family's 1533-position model. The record is from RNAcentral.
UACGAAGGGGGCUAGCGUUGCUCGGAAUUACUGGGCGUAAAGCGCACGUAGGCGGCUCUUUAAGUCGGGGGUGAAAUCCUGGAGCUCAACUCCAGAACUGCCUUCGAUACUGUAGAGCUUGAGUUCGGGAGAGGUGAGUGGAACUGCGAGUGUAGAGGUGAAAUUCGUAGAUAUUCGCAAGAACACCAGUGGCGAAGGCGGCUCACUGGCUCGAUACUGACGCUGAGGUGCGAAAGCGUGGGGAGCAAACAGG